UCUUGCUCUAAUCUUAUCAAUUGCCUCAAUUGUUCAUUCAAUGAUUUUAGGAUCCAAAAUUCUAUUCUCUCCAAUCUCAUCCCAAUGGAUAGGAGACUGCACUUUUUACCAUAAAGAGCUUUAUAUGGGACCAUGCCUAUAGUGAAUAAAAACUAUUGUUGUAAGCAAACUCCACUAACGGUAGGUGUGUCUCCCAACUAUCGCCAAGAUCCAAAACACAUGCCUUCAACAUAUCUUUAAGAGUUUGAAUUUUUUUUUUCUUUCUGAUUGUCCAUCCUUAUGCGAAUGAUAAGUAGUGCUAAACUUUAAUUUCGUCCCUAUGACUGUCUGCAAACUUUUCCAAAAUUUUGAUGUAAACUUUGGGUUUCCAUCUGAAACAAUGAUGACAGGAAGGGUCGGCCCUUAGGCCAACCUUCCUAGGCAAAGGCCUAGAGCCUCCAAAAAUUGGCUUGGGGCCAGGACCUCAAAAUGGAUACAAAUUCCAAGCGAUAAAUCCAAUAAAAAAGGGCCCGGAAAGAUUUUCAAAUCUGCUUUCAAUUUGGUGACUGACGAUUUCCUUUCUUCCCCCACUUCCACAAUUCUCCAGAAUCAAAUUCAACCUCCCACCUCCACUUAUUUUAGUUUACUUUCUCUCGAUUUCUCCGGACUUCAAUUCAUGAUUCUAUUUCUUCAAUGUUCUCUCCAGACUCCAGCCCAUAUCGGUCGGUGACAUCUCUUCAGGUAUGAAGUAUAACUUUCUAGAUUUAACAUUUAACAAUUUCAGUUUGGGAGGAAUGUUUAGAAAAACUUUGAAUGAUUGAAUCUUUUCAAGAGUUUGAAGUUGGGGGUGUUGUAUUUUGACUAUUGUCUGAUUUUAUUUUUUAUUUUUUAUUUUUUAUUUUUUGUGAACGAAAGGGGAAAAAUAAUACAUUCGUGUUGUCAGUACAGAUUGUAUGUAUAUAUUAAGGUUUUGGGGCUCCUGAGAAGCUCAGAGGAUUCUUGACAGUGUUUGACCGCCUAAUAGAUUCACCCUUGCUAAGCAAUAGAGUUACCAAAAUGCCAUUGUUUAAUUCUAUUUCUUUUGGGAAUUAAUUAGAGCCAGCCUUGAAUUAUAAUGAUAUCAAUGUCAUAUGUUUUACAUAAAUACAGUAGUGAUUAGUGAUUUAUCUUAGGGCAGGCCCUCGUUGGCUAUUUCUCUUUCUAGUUAUUGGUUUUUGCCAUUUAAGAAGAUGAACUUGUCCACAAAAUUCGUUUGGGUUUCCGAAUCAUAAGAAGAAUUUGGGGGGGGGGGGAUCCAACUAAAGAUUUUUUUUCCCUUUAUAUUUAUUAUUUUUGGUAUUUUGGGAGGUGGGGUUAAGCGUGGGGAUGGGGAUGUCUGCUAAUCGUGAAUUUCUCUGUGUUCUUAUAAAGCUUUAAAGUGAACUUUAUCUUUUUUCUGUCAUGUCAUGUGCAAAUUGCAAUUCUUUUAUGGCUAAUUAUUGCAUCUACUUUAUGAUUACUUGAAGGAAAAAAUGGAAAUGCAUAGCAGACUACCAAUGCCAUUGUUGAUUGUCCAAUGUCUUGGACUUGGACUUGGUCCCUUGGAUUUAUUUAUUUGUAUUUUGUUGUGUGUUUCUAUGUGCUAAUUUUGCUGAAACGCUACUUAUGAUUUAUGAGUAUUAUAUUUUUGGUUGUCCCAAUUACUUGUUGUGCUAUCAAAUUAGUAGAUUUCUGCUUAUGACUUUUGAAUGUUGUGUUUGCUUUUAAUUUAUUUCUUAUCUCAAGUUCAUCAUUUAUGUUGGUAUUGCUCAAGUCUAUUCUAAAUGUUAUUUGGUUAUUUCUUGUUGGUUGAUUGUGGAAUUCCUUCACUUGGCAUAUUCAAGAAUAUGGGAU
Molecule: long non-coding RNA, 1851 nt
Filed under: Olea europaea subsp. europaea
Lineage: Eukaryota; Viridiplantae; Streptophyta; Magnoliopsida; Lamiales; Oleaceae
Source: RNAcentral